GAUGCAGUAGCACAGUGGUUAAGUGUGCUUGAGUUGGGAUCAAAAGGUCCUGAGUUCAAGCCCUUGCCACAGCC
Molecule: non-coding RNA, 74 nt
Organism: Gymnothorax javanicus (giant moray)
Lineage: Eukaryota; Metazoa; Chordata; Actinopteri; Anguilliformes; Muraenidae
Source: the annotation of a GenBank genome assembly